RNAcentral lists this long non-coding RNA (7630 nucleotides) under Salmo salar (Atlantic salmon). RNAcentral describes it as "lncRNA (ENSSSAG00000084194.1, ENSSSAG00000097554.1)". The stretch from base 6554 to 6606 matches the Rfam family "UnaL2 LINE 3' element". The record is from RNAcentral. Lineage: Eukaryota; Metazoa; Chordata; Actinopteri; Salmoniformes; Salmonidae.
GUCUGUUUCUCUCUCUCUCUCUCUCUCUCUCUCUCUCUCUCUCUCUCUCUCUCUCUCGGGUCAGUAGAGGGGUUAGAUCAGUGGUCACCAACCGGUCAAUCGUGAUCGGUCAGUCGUGAUCGAUCUCCAAGGCAUCUCUAGUCGAUCUCCAAAUAUUUCUGUAAAAAACCCAACUCUAAAGCAUUGCGUUCCUAUAAUUUUUUUUAUUCCUCUUGUGCAGUUGGCGGUAGGUGCACCCGAUUCAGCUGCCCUGCGUGCCAGGUAGCCAAAGUGUUCAGAUUUUGAACCGUUUCAUGUGUCUGAAGGGACAAACUCUGCCUUCCCCACGGGCCCGGAGAGCAAAUCAAGUGCACUAUAGGCCUAACGCUGACCAAUCGGAUGGCUCAGAUGGCCGUGUCUGCACUAACGUAGCAGGAACAAAAGGAAGCUACAGCAAAGUUGUGGGAUGUAAAAAUGUUUAAAACCAUGAAUAGAUAGAUAUUGUUUACGAAUACAGCAAAGAGAUGCUGUUUUUAUGAGUGAGUUUAUGUUUAAGUUCUUACUCAGCACAUACAGUUGAAGUCGGAAGUUUACAUACACUUAGUUUGGAGUCAUUAAAACUCAUUUUUCAACCACUCCACAAAUGUCUUGUUAACAAACUAUAGUUUUGGCAAGUCGGUUAGGAUAUCUACUUUGUGCAUGACACAAGUAAUUUUUCCAACAAUUGUUUACAGACAGAUUAUUUCACUUAUAAUUCACUGUAUCACAAUUCCAGUGGGUCAGAAGUUUACAUACACUAAACUGACUGUGACUUUAAACAGCUUGGAAAAUUCCAGAAAAUUAUGUCAUGGCUUUAGAAGCUUCUGAUAGGCUAAUUGACAUCAUUUGAGUCAAUUGGAGGUGUACCUGUGGAUGUAUUUCAAGGCCUACCUUCAAACUCGGUGCAUCUUUGCUUGACAUCAUGGGAAAAUCAAAAGAAAUCAGCCAAGACCUCAGAAAAACAAGUGUAGACCUCCACAAGUCUGGUUCAUCCUUGGGAGCAAUUUCCAAACGCCUGAAGAACCACGUUCAUCUGUACAAACAAUAGUACGCAAGUAUAAACACCAUGGGACCACUCAGCCGUCAUACCGCUCAGGAAGGAGAUGCGUUCUGUCUCCUAGAGAUGAACGUACUUUGGUGUGAAAAGUGCAAAUCAAUCCCAGAACAACAGCAAAGGACCGUGUGAAGAUGCUGGAGGAAACAGGUAGAAAAGUAUCUAUAUCCACAGUAAAAAUGAGUCCUAUAUCGACAUAACCUGAAAGGCCGCUCAGCAAGGAAGAAGCCACUGCUACAAAACCGGCAUAAAAAAAGGCCGACUACAGUUUGCAACUGCACAUGGGGAUCGUACUUUUUGGAGAAAUGUCCUCUGGUCUGAUGAAACAAAAAUAGAACUGUAUGGCCAUAAUGACCAUCGUUAUGUUUGGAGGAAAAAGGGGGAUGCUUGCAAGCCGAAGAACACCUUCCCAACCGUGAUGCACGGGGAUGGCAGCAUCAUGUUGUGGGGGUGCUUUGCUGCAGGAAGGACUGGUGCACUUCACAAAAUAGAUGGCAUCAUGGGAAGGACAUAGAUGGCAUCAUGAGGCAGGAAAAUGAUGUAGAUAUAUUGAAGCAACAUCUCAAGACAUCAGUAAGUUAAAGCUUGGUCGCAAAUGGGUCUUCCAAAUGGACAAUGACUCCAAGCAUACUUCCAAAGUUGUGGCAAAAUGUAUUUAAGACAACAAAGUCAAGGUAUUGGAGUGGGCAUCAGAAAGCCCUGACCUCAAACGUAUCGAAAAUUUGUGGGCAGAACUAAAAAAUCGUGUGUGAGCAAGGAGACCUACAAACCUGACUCAGUUACAGCAGCUCUGUCAGGAGGAAUGUGCCAAAAUUCACCCAACUUAUUGUGGGAAGGCUACCCGAAAGGUUUGACCCAAGUUAAACAAUUUAAAGGCAAUGCUACCAAAUACUUAUUCUGUGUAAACUUCUGACCCACUGGGAAUGUGAUGAAAGAAAUAAAAGCUGAAAUAAAUCAUUCUCUCUACUAUUAUUCUGACAUUUCACAUUCUUAAAAUAAAGUUGUGAUCCUAACUGACCUAAGGAAAGGAUUUUUACUAGGAUUAAAUGUCAGGAAUUGUGAAAAACUGAGUUGAAAUGUAUUUGGCUAAGGUGAAUGUACACUUCUGACUUAAACUGUAAAUCGUACUUGCACUUGUGCUACAACCAGCACUGCAGCUGCAAUGAAUGAGUAGGAAAGUGUAUCGAUAGGCUUGUGUUGUUGUUAUUAGCAGCUUGGGUCUUUUCAAUAUCAAGGAAUGUUUCACUUUCUCUGGUCAUAGUAGUAACAACAUGAAGUUCUGUAUGAGACAGAAAUAAUCAAAUCAAACUUUAUUUGCCACAUGCGCCGAAUACAACAAGUGUAGACUUUACCGUGAAAUGCUUACUUACAAGCCCUUAACCAACAGUGCAGUUCAAGAAGAAGAAAAUAUUUACAAAGUAGGCUAAAAUAAAAAGUAAUAACAAAAAGUAACACAAAAAGAAUAACAAUAACGACUGUUAUAUACACGGGGCACCGGUACCGAGUCAGUGUGCAGGGGAACAGGCUAGUUGAGGUAAUCUGUACAUGUAGGUGGGGGCGAAGUGACUAUGCAUAGGUAACAAACAAACAGCGAGUAGAAGCAGUGUACAAGAGGAGGAAGGGAGGUGGGUGGGGGUGUUGUCAAUGUAAAUUGUCCGGUGGCAAUUUUUAUGAAUUGUUCAGCAGUUUAAUGGCUUGGGGGUAGAAGUUGUUGCUGAGCCUUUUGGUCCUAGACUUGGCGCUCCGGUACUGCUUGCCGUGCGGUACCAGAGAAAACAGUCUAUAACUUGGGUGACUGGAGUCUCUGACAAUUUUAUGGGCUUUCCUCUGACACCGCCUAUUAUAUAGGUCCUGGAUGGCAGGAAGCUUGGACCCAGUGAUGUACUGGGCCGUUUGCACUACACUCUGUAGCGCCUUACGGUCAGAUGCUGAGCAGUUGCCAUACCAGCCGGUGAUGCUACCGGUCAGGAUGCUCUCAAUGGUGCAGCUGUAGAACCUUUUGAGGAUCUGGGGGCCCAGGCCAAAUCUUUUCUCCUGAGGGGGAAAAGGUUUUGUCAUGCCCUCUUCAUGACUGUCUUGAUAUGUUUGGACCAUGAUAGUUUGAUGGUGACGUGGACACCAAGGAACUUGAAACUCUCGACCCGCUCCACUACAGCCCCUUCGAUGUUAAUGGGGGCCUGUUCGGCCCGCCUUUUCCUGUAGUCCACGAUCAGCUACAGGUCUUGCUCACAUUGAGGGAGAGGUUGUUGUUCUGGCACCACACUACCAGUUCCCUGACCUCCUCCCUAUAGGCCGUCUCAUUGUUGUCGGUGAUCAGGCCUACCACUGUUGUGUCAUAAGCAAACUUAAUGAUGGUGAUGGAGUCGUGUUUGGCCACCCAGUCGUGGGUGAACAGGGAAUACAGGAGGGGACUAAGUACACACCCUGAGGGGCCCCAGUGGUAAGGAUGAGUGUGGCAGACGUGUUGUUGCCUACUCUUACCACCUGGGGUGGCCCGUCAGGAAGUCCAGGAUCCAGUUAGUCCCAGAGUCCUUAGCUUAGUGAUGAGCUUCAUGGGCACUAUGGUGUUGAAUGCUGAGCUGUAGUCGAUGAACAGCAUCCUCACAUAGGUGUUCCUUUUGUCCAGGUGAGAAGGGCAGUGUGGAGUGCGAUUGAGAUUGCAUCAUCUGUGGAUCUGUUGGGGCGGUAUGCGAAUUGGAGUGGGUCUAGGGUGUCCGGAUGCUGUUGAUGUGAGCCGUGACCAGCCUUUCAAAGCACUUCAUGGCUACCGAAGUGAGUGCCAUGGGGCGAUAAUCAUUUAGGCAGGUUACCUUCGCUUCCUUUGGCACAGAGACUAACUAUGGUGGUCUGCUUGACACAUGUAGGUAUUACAGACUCGGUCAGGAGAGGUUGGAAAUGUCAGUGAAGACACUUUACAGUUGGUUCGCGCAUGCUUUAAGUACACGUCCUGGUAAUCCGUCUGGCCAGUUUAAAGGUUUUGUUCAUAUCAGCUACCGAGAGCGUUAUCACACAGUGGUCCAGAACAGCUGGUGCUCUCGUGCAUGCUUCAGUGUUGCUUGCCUCGAAGCGAGCAUAAAAGGCAUUUAGCUCAUCUGGUAGGCUCGCGUCACUGGGCAGUUCGCGUCUGGGUUUCCCUUUGUAGUCCGUAAUAGUUUUCAAGCCCUGCCACAGCCGACGAGUGUGAUUAAAUUUUUAACAUUGUAUUGACGCUUUGCUUGUUUGAUGGUUUGUCUGAGGGCAUAGCGGGAUUUCUUAUAAGCGUCCGGAUUAGUCUCCCGCUCCUUGAAAGCGACAGCUCAAGCCUUUAGCUCGAUGUGGAUGUUGCCUGUAAUCCAUGGCUUCUGGUUGGGAUAUGUACGUACAGUCGCUGUGGGCACGACGUCAUCGAUUCACUUAUUGAUGAAGCCGGUGACUGAGGUGGUGUAUUCCUCAAUGCCAUUGGAUGAAUCCCGGAACAUAUUCCAGUCUGUGCUAGCAAAACCGUCCUGUAGUGUAGCAUCUGCAUCAUCUGACCACCUCCGUAUUGAGCGAGUCACUGGUACUUCCUGCUUUAGUUUUUGCUUGUAAGCGGGAAUCAGGAGGAUAGAAUUGUCGUCAGAUUCGCCAAAUGGAGGGCGGGGGAGAGCUUUGUAUUCAUCUCUGUGUGUGGAGUAAAGGUGGUCUAGGAUUUUGUUUUUCCUGGUUGCACAUGUAACAUGCUGGUAAAAAUUUUUGUAAAACUGAUUUAACUUUGCCUGCAUUAAAGUCUCUGGCCACUAGGAGCGCUGCUUCUGGGUGAGCAUUUUCUUCUUUCCUUAUGGCCUUAUAGAGUUUGUUGAGAGCUUUCUUAGUGGCAGCUUCACUUUGUGGCGGUAAAUAGACAGCUACGAAUAAUAUAGAUGAGAACUCUCUUGGUAGAUAGUGUGGUCUACAGCUUAUCAUAAGGUACUCUACCUCAGGCGAGCAAUACCUUGAGACUUCUUUAAUAUUAGGCAUCGCGCAGCAGCUGUUAUUGACAAAAAGACACACACACCCACCCCUCAUCUAACCAGAGGUAGCGUCUCUGUUCUGCAUGGGAAAAUCCUGCCAGCUCUAUAUUGUCCGUUUCUUUGUUCAGCCACGUCUCGGUGGAACAUAAAAUGUUACAGUUUUUAAUGUCCCGUUGGUAGGAAAGUCUUAAUAGUAGGUCAUCAAUUUUAUUUUCUAACAAUUGCACGUUAGCAAGGAGAAUGGAAGGCAUUGGGAGUUUACUCGUUCGCCUCUGGCUUCUCAGAAGGAUCCCCAAUCUGGUUCCCCUUUUCCAGCGUCUUUUCUUCACGUAAAAGGCGUGGAUCUGGGCCUGUUCCAGUGAAAGCAGGAUAUCCUUCUCAUUGGACUCGUUAAAGGAAAAAGUUUCUUCCAGUCCGUGGUGAGUUAUCGCUUUUCUGAUGUCCAGAAGUUAUUUUCAGUCAUAAGAGACGGUAGCAGCAACAUUAUGUACACAAUAAGUAAAAAAAUUAGUUACGCAAAAAAAAAUAACAAAAUUGCACAAUUGGUUGGGAGAAUGUAAAACGUCAGCCAUGUUCUUCGGCGCUAUCUUUAUGUUUAAAUAAUGCAGUGCGACUCAAGUUUCGCCAUCAGCUGGAAGACGGUGUCCCUUUUUGGUCAGUGUCAACAGACGAAAAGGGAGAGCGGAGUGACUUUGAGAGGCAGACCGUCAGUCUGCUGCUCUCUCCCUCCACUAAGACUGACCAUCAGAUGCAGGCACCAUCAGCCCAGUAAAAUAAAUAAAAUUAAAAAUGAUUUAAAUGUAUGCUCACUCAGCUGUAAAUGUAUGCUCACAAGUAAUACAACAAUUGAUCUAUAACCGGUGUGAUCACAUAGCCUACCUCAAAUUUUGAAAUAUAAAUAUAUUUUAAUGGUCCAAACAAAAAUGCAUUGGCAUGGCAAUUAAAGUAAAGCCAAUAUGCAGUGAUAAUGUAUUGGACCUAUAGCCUACUGCACAAACCUCAUUGCUACAGUACUGUUUUCAAUAUCUUAAUGUUGCAUAGGAUUAAGUUUUUUUCAGUCAUGUAAAACAAAUCUGAGCGGUACAUCUCGGCUUGUAUUUUGACUCAGGAAGUGAUCUUGACCUAGGAAAGGUUAGUGACCACUUUGUUAGAUGAUAUGCACAUGCUUUUCUGGGCUAAGGACUCAAAGGGUGUACCCCCUCAGGCCUCAGUGUCUACUGACUUUCAUUCUUGCCCCUUAAUCUGGGCAGCCAGGUGUGUUGGACACUUACGCAAUAAGGCCUGAGGAGGUGUGGUAUAUGGCCAGUUUAUAAUGGUUAAUAAGUACUGAGAAAUGAUCAAUAUCAGGGAGAGUACCAGGAAGAGACGACAAAUAGCUUGACUGUGACCCUGAAGGACAGCAGUUUUUCCACCACUGGUCUAAGCAACUCCUGCCGCUCCUCCCUUGUAGCUUUGUUGGUAGAGCAUGGAUCUUACAAAGCCAGGGUUGUGGGUUCGAUUCCCAAGGGGGACCAGUAUGGAAAAUGUAUGUCGCUCUGGAUAAGAGCGUCUGCAAAAUGACGUAAAUGUAAAUGUCUGUCAUCAAAGCAGAGAAAGAUAAGAUUAGGCAAGAUGGCAUCUAGCAAGCUGAACAGUACGUGUCUGUUUUGUUGGCACUUCUGUACUUGAAUCCAUUUUAUUUGCGAUAAUUGAGCAUUUUAUCAAUGCGCUGCAAAGUGCACAAUUUUGAAAGGGAUUGUUGAUUGCGGCUAAAAUGACUGCAGGAGCGGUAAUGAUGCUAUGACUAUGGGGACUAGUGAGAGAUUGGUAUGACUACAGGGACUGGAGAGAGAGUGGUGUGACUACAGGGACUAGUGAGAGAGUGGUAUGACUACAGGGAGAGAGAGUCAUAUGACUACAGGGAGAGAUAGUCGUAUGACUACAGGGAGAGAUAGUGGUAUGACUACAGGGACUGGAGAGAGAGUGGUGUGACUACAGGGACUAGUGAGAGAGUGGUAUGACUACGGAGACUGGAGAGAGAGUGCUAUGUUACAGGGACUAGUGAGAGAGUGGUAUGACUAUGGGGACUGGAGAGAGAGUGGUAUGACUACGGGGACUGGAGAGAGAGUGGUAUGACUACGGGGACUGGAGAGAGAGUGGUAUGACUAUGGGGACUGGAGAGAGAGUGGUAUGACUACGGGGACUGGAGAGAGAGUGGUAUGACUACGGGGACUGGAGAGAGAGUGGUAUGACUACGGGGACUGGAGAGAGAGUGGUAGAACUACGGGGACUGGAGAGAGUGGUAUGACUACGGUGACUAGUGAGAGAGUGGUAUGACAAUGGGGACUGGAGAAAGAGUGGUAUGACUACAGGGAAAGAGAGUCAUAUGACUACAGGGAGAGAUAGUGGUAUGACUACAGGGACUGGAGAGAGAGUGGUAUGACUACGGGGAGAGAGUGUCAUAUGACUACAGGGAGAGAUAGUGGUAUGACUACAGGGACUGGAGAGAGAGUGGUGUGACUACAGGGACUAGUGAGAGAGUGGUAUGACUACGGGGACUGGAGAGAGAGUGCUAUGUUACAGGGACUAGUGAGAGAGUGGUAUGACUACG